GAUGAAGAACGUAGCGAAAUGCGAUAAGUAGUGUGAAUUGCAGACUUCAGUGAAUCAUCGAAUCUUUGAACGCACAUUGCGCCCUUUGGUAUUCCAAAGGGCAUGCCUGUUCGAGCGUCAUUUGUACCCUCAAGCUUUGCUUGGUGUUGGGCGUCUUGUCUCUAGCUUUGCUGGAGACUCGCCUUAAAGUAAUUGGCAGCCGGCCUACUGGUUUCGGAGCGCAGCACAAGUCGCACUCUCUAUCAGCAAAGGUCUAGCAUCCAUUAAGCCUUUUUUUCAACUUUUGACCUCGGAUCAGGUAGGGAUACCCGCUGAACUUAAGCAUAUCAAUAAGCGGAGGA
Molecule: unclassified non-coding RNA, 341 nt
Filed under: soil metagenome
Description: partial contains 5.8S ribosomal RNA, internal transcribed spacer 2, and large subunit ribosomal RNA
Rfam family: 5.8S ribosomal RNA (bases 1-120)
Source: RNAcentral